RNAcentral lists this ribosomal RNA (914 nucleotides) under uncultured marine archaeon. RNAcentral describes it as "bacterial SSU rRNA". It matches the Rfam family "Archaeal small subunit ribosomal RNA", at positions 1 to 921 of the family's 1478-position model. The record is from RNAcentral.
UUCCGGUUGAUCCUGCCGGAGGCUACCGCUAUUGGAGUUCGAUUAAGCCAUGCGAGUCGCGAGUCUUAGGGACUCGGCGUACCGCUCAGUAACACGUGGGUAACCUGCCCUAUGCUGGGGGAUAACCUCGGGAAACUGAGAAUAAUACCCCAUAGUUCACCACGCCUGGAACGGUGGGUGGAUGAAAGCUCCGGCGGCAUAGGAUGGGCCUGCGGCGUAUCAGGUUGUAGGGGGUGUAAUGUACCCUCUAGCCAUCUACGCGUACGGGUGUUGGGAGACAUCGCCCGGAGAUGGAUUCUGAGACACGAAUCCAGACCCUACGGGGUGCAGCAGGCGCGAAAACUUGGCAAUGCGAGAAAUCGUGACCAGGGAACUCCAAGUGCAUCGGGUAAGACCGAUGCUUUUCUUGACUCUUCAAAGGUCUUGGAAUAAGGGGUGGGUAAGGACGGUGCCAGCCGCCGCGGUAAUACCGGCGCCCCAAGUGGUAGUCGCUUUUAUUGGGCCUAAAACGUCCGUAGCCGGUCUGGUACAUUCGUGGGUAAAUCAAGGCGCUCAACGUCUUGAAUUCUGCGAGCACGGCCAGACUUGGGACCGGGUGAGGUGUGGGGUACUCUCAGGGUAGGGGUAAAAUCCUGUCAUCCUGAGAGGACCACCUGUUGCGAAGGCGCCACACUAGAACGGAUCCGACGGUCAGGGACGAAGCCUAGGGGCACGAACCGGAUUAGAUACCCGGGUAGUCCUAGGUGUAAACGCUGUGGACUUGAUGUUGGGAGUGCUCCGAGCACCCUCAGUGUCGAAGCGAAGGUGAUAAGUCCACUGCCUGGGGAGUACGGUCGCAAGGCUGAAACUUAAAGGAAUUGGCGGGGGAGCACUGCAACCUGAGGAUUGUGCGGUUUAAUUGGAUUCAACGCCGG